RNAcentral lists this small nuclear RNA (21 nucleotides) under Arabidopsis thaliana (thale cress). RNAcentral's name for it is "snRNA_10409". Lineage: Eukaryota; Viridiplantae; Streptophyta; Magnoliopsida; Brassicales; Brassicaceae. The record is from RNAcentral.
AUUGUAAAUAAGUUCCAACUU